GCUGGGUGUUGUGGCGCACACCUGUAGUUCCAGCUACUCAGGAGGCUGAGGCAGGAGAAUCGCUUGAACCCAGGAGGAGGAGGUUGCAGUGAGCUGAGAUUGUGCCACUGUACUCCAGCCUGGGUGACAGAGCGAAACCCUGUCUCAA
Molecule: non-coding RNA, 148 nt
Filed under: Pan troglodytes (chimpanzee)
Lineage: Eukaryota; Metazoa; Chordata; Mammalia; Primates; Hominidae
Source: Rfam by way of RNAcentral